RNAcentral lists this ribosomal RNA (253 nucleotides) under uncultured bacterium. Its description in RNAcentral is "partial 16S ribosomal RNA". It matches the Rfam family "Bacterial small subunit ribosomal RNA", at positions 524 to 776 of the family's 1533-position model. The record is from RNAcentral.
UACGUAGGGGGCAAGCGUUGUUCGGAAUUACUGGGCGUAAAGGGCGCGUAGGCGGCACGGCAAGUCAGGAGUGAAAGGCCUGGGCUCAACCGAGGAACUGCUUUUGAGACUGCCGAGCUAGAGUGCAGAAGGGGCAACUGGAAUUCCCAGUGUAGCGGUGAAAUUCGUAGAUAUCGGGAGGAAUACCAGUGGCGAAGGCGGCAUCCUGGACCGACAUUGACGCUGAGGAGCGAAAGCUAGGGUAGCAAACGGG